This 552-nucleotide unclassified non-coding RNA is filed under the name Hevea brasiliensis (rubber tree). The record is from RNAcentral. Lineage: Eukaryota; Viridiplantae; Streptophyta; Magnoliopsida; Malpighiales; Euphorbiaceae.
GGCAAAUUGAAAUAUAAACAAAAUAGCGAGUUCUAUCAAUCAAGAUACUCCCUAAUAAUUUCCAUAGAUUAAUUACAUCCGCAAACAAACUGUAUUUAGUCAGACUACUUGUAUAGUCCACUUAAGAUCACCAGGGAUCAGCCAAAGAAAGGAACAAAUGAAAACUACCAACAGUUUUAACUUCAUGUUGCUGGCAACUUAUACCAGAGUCUGAUGCAUCAAGUUGUAUUUUCCUCCACAGAAUUUGCAUUUUUCUUGCUGCUCUUUGUUGUUUUCGGAGAAGAUUUACUUCGUGAGAAAGGCAUGUACUUGAGGCGAUAACUAACAAGUGAAGGUCCAAAUAUGCUGUAUUUACCAGCACUGCUGAAAGCCGUUUCUGCAUCAUCUCGCCUGUAGAAAACCACUUUCACACGGUUACUCUUCUUCAGCACUUCAGUCUCUGAUUCCUUCACACGGCCAAAUCGGCUGAAUAUCUUGUUCAAAUUUGAUUCUGAAGGGAUGGAAUCCAGGCCAGUAAAGUUCAGAAUCAGAGCUGUUGGAGAGUGAUCAUUA